This 497-nucleotide ribosomal RNA is filed under the name uncultured bacterium. Its description in RNAcentral is "partial 16S ribosomal RNA". It matches the Rfam family "Bacterial small subunit ribosomal RNA", at positions 28 to 507 of the family's 1533-position model. The record is from RNAcentral.
GAUGAACGCUGGCGGCGUGCCUAAUACAUGCAAGUCGAGCGAACAGAUGAGGCGCUUGCUCCUCUGACGUUAGCGGCGGGCGGGUGAGUAACACGUGGAUCCCCUCCCUAUCUGUCGGGGAUAUCUUCGGGAAACGGGCGCAAAUCCCGGAUAAUAUCCUGAACCGCAUGGUUCAAUAGUGAGAGUCGGUUUUGCUGUCUCUACUCGCUGGAUCUGCGCCGGAUUAGCUAGUUGUUAAGGUAACGGCUUAUCAAGGCGACGAUGCGUAGCCGACCGGAGAGAGGGAUCGGCCACACGGGAACUGGAACACGGUCCAGGCGCCUACGGGAGGGAGCAGUAGGGAAUCGUCCGCAGUAGGCGGAAACCUGGCAGAGCGGCGCCACGUGAGUGAUGAAGGUCUUGGGAUCGUAAAACUCUGUUAUGAGUGAAGAACAGAUGUGGAAGGAACUAUGCACGUCUUGACGGUACUGGGUCAAAAAGCCACGGCUAACUACGUG